RNAcentral lists this ribosomal RNA (526 nucleotides) under uncultured organism. Its description in RNAcentral is "SSU rRNA". It matches the Rfam family "Bacterial small subunit ribosomal RNA", at positions 505 to 1031 of the family's 1533-position model. The record is from RNAcentral.
GUGCCAGCAGCCGCGGUAAUACGUAGGGUGCGAGCGUUGUCCGGAAUUACUGGGCGUAAAGAGCUCGUAGGUGGUUUGUCGCGUUGUUCGUGAAAUCUCACGGCUUAACUGUGAGCGUGCGGGCGAUACGGGCAGACUAGAGUACUGCAGGGGAGACUGGAAUUCCUGGUGUAGCGGUGGAAUGCGCAGAUAUCAGGAGGAACACCGGUGGCGAAGGCGGGUCUCUGGGCAGUAACUGACGCUGAGGAGCGAAAGCGUGGGGAGCGAACAGGAUUAGAUACCCUGGUAGUCCACGCCGUAAACGGUGGGUACUAGGUGUGGGUUUCCUUCCUUGGGAUCCGUGCCGUAGCUAACGCAUUAAGUACCCCGCCUGGGGAGUACGGCCGCAAGGCUAAAACUCAAAGGAAUUGACGGGGGCCCGCACAAGCGGCGGAGCAUGUGGAUUAAUUCGAUGCAACGCGAAGGACCUUACCUGGGUUUGACAUGCACAGGACGCGUCUAGGAUAGGCGUUCCCUUGUGGCCUGU